UACAGAGGUCUCAAGCGUUGUUCGGAAUCACUGGGCGUAAAGGGUGCGUAGGCGGCGCGGAAAGUCAGAUGUGAAAUCCGGAGGCUCAACCUCCGAAUUGCAUCCGAAACUUCCGUGCUUGAGAUUUGUAGAGGAGUCUGGAACUCUCGGUGUAGCAGUGAAAUGCGUAGAUAUCUGGAGGAACACCGGUGGCGAAGGCGACAUCCUGGACCGGCAUUGACGCUGAGGCGCGAAAGCCAGGGGAGCAAACGGG
Molecule: ribosomal RNA, 253 nt
Filed under: uncultured bacterium
Lineage: Bacteria
Description: partial 16S ribosomal RNA
Rfam family: Bacterial small subunit ribosomal RNA
Source: RNAcentral